Molecule: ribosomal RNA, 252 nt
Filed under: uncultured bacterium
Lineage: Bacteria
Description: partial 16S ribosomal RNA
Rfam family: Bacterial small subunit ribosomal RNA
Source: RNAcentral
GACGUAGGGCGCGAGCGUUGUCCGGAUUUAUUGGGCGUAAAGAGCUCGUAGGCGGCUUUCUAAGUCGGAGGUGAAAUCCUGGAGCUCAACUCCAGAACUGCCUUCGAUACUGGAGAGCUUGAGUCCGGGAGAGGUGAGUGGAACUGCGAGUGUAGAGGUGAAAUUCGUAGAUAUUCGCAAGAACACCAGUGGCGAAGGCGGCUCACUGGCCCGGUACUGACGCUGAGGUGCGAAAGCGUGGGGAGCAACAGG